RNAcentral lists this ribosomal RNA (81 nucleotides) under Vargamyces aquaticus. RNAcentral describes it as "partial 28S ribosomal RNA". It matches the Rfam family "Eukaryotic large subunit ribosomal RNA", at positions 1 to 81 of the family's 3401-position model. Lineage: Eukaryota; Fungi; Ascomycota; Dothideomycetes; Pleosporales; Amniculicolaceae. The record is from RNAcentral.
UGACCUCGGAUCAGGUAGGGAUACCCGCUGAACUUAAGCAUAUCAAUAAGCGGAGGAAAAGAAACCAACAGGGAUUGCCUC